CGCGCCCUUAGCUCAGCUGGAUAGAGCAUCGGACUUCUAAUCCGACGGUCGCAGGUUCGAAUCCUGCAGGGCGCGCCC
RNAcentral lists this transfer RNA (78 nucleotides) under Sphaerisporangium rufum. RNAcentral describes it as "tRNA-Arg". It matches the Rfam family "tRNA". From Rfam's summary of the family: Transfer RNA (tRNA) molecules are approximately 80 nucleotides in length. Their secondary structure includes four short double-helical elements and three loops (D, anti-codon, and T loops). Further hydrogen bonds mediate the characteristic L-shaped molecular structure. tRNAs have two regions of fundamental functional importance: the anti-codon, which is responsible for specific mRNA codon recognition, and the 3' end, to which the tRNAs corresponding amino acid is attached (by aminoacyl-tRNA synthetases). tRNAs cope with the degeneracy of the genetic code in two manners: having more than one tRNA (with a specific anti-codon) for a particular amino acid; and 'wobble' base-pairing, i.e. permitting non-standard base-pairing at the 3rd anti-codon position. The record is from RNAcentral. Lineage: Bacteria; Bacillati; Actinomycetota; Actinomycetes; Streptosporangiales; Streptosporangiaceae.